RNAcentral lists this ribosomal RNA (707 nucleotides) under uncultured bacterium. Its description in RNAcentral is "bacterial SSU rRNA". It matches the Rfam family "Bacterial small subunit ribosomal RNA", at positions 104 to 828 of the family's 1533-position model. The record is from RNAcentral.
GGGUGAGUAACGCGUGAGCAACCUGCCCUUCGGAGGGGGAUAGUGUCUGGAAACGGACAGUAAUACCGCAUAAAAUAUAUUUGCCGCAUGACAGAUAUAUCAAAACUGAGGUGCCGAGGGAUGGGCUCGCGUUGGAUUAGAUAGUUGGUGGGGUAACGGCCUACCAAGUCAACGAUCCAUAGCCGGACUGAGAGGUUGAACGGCCACGUUGGGACUGAGACACGGCCCAGACUCCUACGGGAGGCAGCAGUGGGGAAUAUUGCACAAUGGGGGGAACCCUGAUGCAGCAACGCCGCGUGAAGGAAGACGGUUUUCGGAUUGUAAACUUCUGUUCUUAGUGAAGAAGAAUGACGGUAGCUAAGGAGCAAGCCACGGCUAACUACGUGCCAGCAGCCGCGGUAAUACGUAGGUGGCAAGCGUUGUCCGGAAUUACUGGGUGUAAAGGGAGCGCAGGCGGGAAGCCAAGUCAGCUGUGAAAACUACGGGCUUAACUUGUAGACUGCAGUUGAAACUGGUUUUCUUGAGUGAAGUAGAGGUUGGCGGAAUUCCGAGUGUAGCGGUGAAAUGCGUAGAUAUUCGGAGGAACACCGGUGGCGAAGGCGGCCAACUGGGCUUUAACUGACGCUGAGGCUCGAAAGUGUGGGGAGCAAACAGGAUUAGAUACCCUGGUAGUCCACACUGUAAACGAUGAUAACUAGGUGUGGGGG